This 377-nucleotide ribosomal RNA is filed under the name uncultured cyanobacterium. RNAcentral describes it as "bacterial SSU rRNA". It matches the Rfam family "Bacterial small subunit ribosomal RNA", at positions 376 to 770 of the family's 1533-position model. The record is from RNAcentral. Lineage: Bacteria; Bacillati; Cyanobacteriota.
GGCAACCCUGACGGAGCAACGCCGCGUGCGGGAGGAAGGCCUUUGGGUUGUAAACCGCUUUUCUCAGGGAAGAUAAUGACGGUACUUGAGGAAUCAGCCUCGGCUAACUCCGUGCCAGCAGCCGCGGUAAUACGGAGGAGGCAAGCGUUAUCCGGAAUUAUUGGGCGUAAAGCGUUCGCAGGCGGUCAGCCAAGUCUGCUGUUAAAUGCCGCAGCUCAACUGCGGGAGGGCAGUGGAAACUGGCUAACUAGAGUGUGGCAGGGGUAGGGGGAAUUCCCGGUGUAGCGGUGAAAUGCGUAGAUAUCGGGAAGAACACCAGUGGCGAAAGCGCCCUACUGGGCCAUAACUGACGCUCAGGGACGAAAGCUAGGGUAGCG